This 2522-nucleotide ribosomal RNA is filed under the name Escherichia coli. RNAcentral's name for it is "bacterial LSU rRNA". It matches the Rfam family "Bacterial large subunit ribosomal RNA", at positions 419 to 2925 of the family's 2925-position model. Lineage: Bacteria; Pseudomonadati; Pseudomonadota; Gammaproteobacteria; Enterobacterales; Enterobacteriaceae. The record is from RNAcentral.
GGGACACGUGGUAUCCUGUCUGAAUAUGGGGGGACCAUCCUCCAAGGCUAAAUACUCCUGACUGACCGAUAGUGAACCAGUACCGUGAGGGAAAGGCGAAAAGAACCCCGGCGAGGGGAGUGAAAAAGAACCUGAAACCGUGUACGUACAAGCAGUGGGAGCACGCUUAGGCGUGUGACUGCGUACCUUUUGUAUAAUGGGUCAGCGACUUAUAUUCUGUAGCAAGGUUAACCGAAUAGGGGAGCCGAAGGGAAACCGAGUCUUAACUGGGCGUUAAGUUGCAGGGUAUAGACCCGAAACCCGGUGAUCUAGCCAUGGGCAGGUUGAAGGUUGGGUAACACUAACUGGAGGACCGAACCGACUAAUGUUGAAAAAUUAGCGGAUGACUUGUGGCUGGGGGUGAAAGGCCAAUCAAACCGGGAGAUAGCUGGUUCUCCCCGAAAGCUAUUUAGGUAGCGCCUCGUGAAUUCAUCUCCGGGGGUAGAGCACUGUUUCGGCAAGGGGGUCAUCCCGACUUACCAACCCGAUGCAAACUGCGAAUACCGGAGAAUGUUAUCACGGGAGACACACGGCGGGUGCUAACGUCCGUCGUGAAGAGGGAAACAACCCAGACCGCCAGCUAAGGUCCCAAAGUCAUGGUUAAGUGGGAAACGAUGUGGGAAGGCCCAGACAGCCAGGAUGUUGGCUUAGAAGCAGCCAUCAUUUAAAGAAAGCGUAAUAGCUCACUGGUCGAGUCGGCCUGCGCGGAAGAUGUAACGGGGCUAAACCAUGCACCGAAGCUGCGGCAGCGACGCUUAUGCGUUGUUGGGUAGGGGAGCGUUCUGUAAGCCUGUGAAGGUGUGCUGUGAGGCAUGCUGGAGGUAUCAGAAGUGCGAAUGCUGACAUAAGUAACGAUAAAGCGGGUGAAAAGCCCGCUCGCCGGAAGACCAAGGGUUCCUGUCCAACGUUAAUCGGGGCAGGGUGAGUCGACCCCUAAGGCGAGGCCGAAAGGCGUAGUCGAUGGGAAACAGGUUAAUAUUCCUGUACUUGGUGUUACUGCGAAGGGGGGACGGAGAAGGCUAUGUUGGCCGGGCGACGGUUGUCCCGGUUUAAGCGUGUAGGCUGGUUUUCCAGGCAAAUCCGGAAAAUCAAGGCUGAGGCGUGAUGACGAGGCACUACGGUGCUGAAGCAACAAAUGCCCUGCUUCCAGGAAAAGCCUCUAAGCAUCAGGUAACAUCAAAUCGUACCCCAAACCGACACAGGUGGUCAGGUAGAGAAUACCAAGGCGCUUGAGAGAACUCGGGUGAAGGAACUAGGCAAAAUGGUGCCGUAACUUCGGGAGAAGGCACGCUGAUAUGUAGGUGAAGUCCCUUGCGGAUGGAGCUGAAAUCAGUCGAAGAUACCAGCUGGCUGCAACUGUUUAUUAAAAACACAGCACUGUGCAAACACGAAAGUGGACGUAUACGGUGUGACGCCUGCCCGGUGCCGGAAGGUUAAUUGAUGGGGUCAGCGCAAGCGAAGCUCUUGAUCGAAGCCCCGGUAAACGGCGGCCGUAACUAUAACGGUCCUAAGGUAGCGAAAUUCCUUGUCGGGUAAGUUCCGACCUGCACGAAUGGCGUAAUGAUGGCCAGGCUGUCUCCACCCGAGACUCAGUGAAAUUGAACUCGCUGUGAAGAUGCAGUGUACCCGCGGCAAGACGGAAAGACCCCGUGAACCUUUACUAUAGCUUGACACUGAACAUUGAGCCUUGAUGUGUAGGAUAGGUGGGAGGCUUUGAAGUGUGGACGCCAGUCUGCAUGGAGCCGACCUUGAAAUACCACCCUUUAAUGUUUGAUGUUCUAACGUGGACCCGUGAUCCGGGUUGCGGACAGUGUCUGGUGGGUAGUUUGACUGGGGCGGUCUCCUCCUAAAGAGUAACGGAGGAGCACGAAGGUUGGCUAAUCCUGGUCGGACAUCAGGAGGUUAGUGCAAUGGCAUAAGCCAGCUUGACUGCGAGCGUGACGGCGCGAGCAGGUGCGAAAGCAGGUCAUAGUGAUCCGGUGGUUCUGAAUGGAAGGGCCAUCGCUCAACGGAUAAAAGGUACUCCGGGGAUAACAGGCUGAUACCGCCCAAGAGUUCAUAUCGACGGCGGUGUUUGGCACCUCGAUGUCGGCUCAUCACAUCCUGGGGCUGAAGUAGGUCCCAAGGGUAUGGCUGUUCGCCAUUUAAAGUGGUACGCGAGCUGGGUUUAGAACGUCGUGAGACAGUUCGGUCCCUAUCUGCCGUGGGCGCUGGAGAACUGAGGGGGGCUGCUCCUAGUACGAGAGGACCGGAGUGGACGCAUCACUGGUGUUCGGGUUGUCAUGCCAAUGGCACUGCCCGGUAGCUAAAUGCGGAAGAGAUAAGUGCUGAAAGCAUCUAAGCACGAAACUUGCCCCGAGAUGAGUUCUCCCUGACUCCUUGAGAGUCCUGAAGGAACGUUGAAGACGACGACGUUGAUAGGCCGGGUGUGUAAGCGCAGCGAUGCGUUGAGCUAACCGGUACUAAUGAACCGUGAGGCUUAA